Mauremys mutica (yellowpond turtle) is the source of this 2004-nucleotide long non-coding RNA. RefSeq lists it as uncharacterized. Lineage: Eukaryota; Metazoa; Chordata; Testudines; Geoemydidae. The transcript has 4 exons. The record is from RefSeq and is a predicted model, not a curated record.
CAGAGAAAGUGAGAGUAACAGCUGUGUCGGAUAACAAAGAAGUGUUUGUGUCUCCAGCUGAGGCAAGUCCCGUGACCAAACUUUGGGGAACAUGUACAAACAGCAACAUUUUUCACUACAACACAGCACAUAGAAACAAGACCCCCAAAAUACUACUUACCUAUCUGGCUUUACUGCCAUUCCAUAUGAUUGCCUGUUCACUAACACAUGCAGCUCUGUGUUGUGUUAGCGUGUUUACCAUGUUUUGUGAGUGUUUCCUGACACAGUGUUUGACAAAAAAGUACACAGGCAUACUGGUGUGAAGCCCUUCCACUAGUUCUGGAAUAAUCUGAUGCCAAGCCAUACAGGAUUGGGUACAAGUAAAAAUGGUUCCCAUGUGCUCCCCUCAAAGUUUUGACCACACACAAUGCCAAGAAAGAAGGCUACCCUCACUGGCCACAGAGUGGAUAAAAGAAGGAGAACAUAAAGUGAAAAUUAAUUGAAUACAGAAUGCAGAUGAUGGCUCCCUUGGCCCAACUACAACAUCCAUGCAACGGCAACAGCUUUCAGCUACUGGUUCUAAAGUAAAGCUGCCAUAUGACACAGAAGCGGCUCUAGCCAUUUUGCUAGCCAAGGUGGAAAACAUUUUCAGCACUGCACCACCAGUGGGCCAAAAAAAGGCCAGCCAAUCGGACCGCAAGGGGGGAAAAGAGCACAAUCGCAUAGCAACUGUUCCACUGCUCCACCCCUAGAACCAGCCCUGACUUUGCACAUAUAAUUAUCUAUCAGUCAAGCUCGGUUGACGUGACAUACAGCUAGCAGUAACAGCAAGGUUGAAGAAAGAGUCACUGUCUCGCUACCAGUAGAGGAUGCUGCAAAGUGGAUCCAAAGAGCUAACAAGACAGCAGGAAGACUGCAAAGGAAGGAGUAUCAAGGGGAAGACCAGCAGUGCUUCUCUGACACCAGCUUCUUGGUGAUUGGCUUUAUCUUUGUGGUGGACACCUGCAACAUGGAAUUUUCAGAAUUACCCUGGGGAUAAGCAGCACUGCAGGGUACACAUACAGGAGGCUCCUGACCCAUGGGAGGAGCAAUGCAUCCAAGAUGGACCUCGAGUUGUGGCCCAGCCUUGAGCAAAAUUGGGAAUAUUUCCUGUUCUGUUGGGAUGAGAAUAAGUCCGCUACUGGGAUUCCCCCUACUUGAAACUCUAGUUUUAGAAUAGCCAUGUUGAGAGAUUAUUCGUGGUUAGAAUGGAAUGAGCUGCUCAGUCAGUCCACUAAAUCAUGGUGAGCCCCUGGUAGAUGUGAUGCUAUGAGAGUCAGGGAAUUCUGUAUGCAGCAAUUCCAAGCCUGACUGCCCCCUGGAAUAGGCUGUUUGAUCUGGUGUCCCCUCUUCAUGGACAAAAAGCAGUGAUGUGGUGUUGUAGGUAAACACCUGGAUAGUCCUGCCCUGUAUAUGUGGCAAAAACUGGCGUCAGGCUCUAGUGAUCGCCCAUAACUGUAAGAUAAUAUAUGUCUGGCCUCUUGAGUGGCCCACAAGCCCUGAGCUUCCAGGUUUCCUAGAUGCGCUCCCACCCAGUGGUUGAAGCAUCCAUUACCAAAGUCAAGAGGGGAGAGCUGGGGAGAACAGGACUCCUGUGCAAACAUUGUCUUUGUCAAUCCACCAAACCAAGGAUGAUAGGAUCUUGUCUGGGAUAGACACUAGUCUGUCCAGGUGAUGCACCUCAGGGCAGUGCACUGACUUGAGCCAUGUCUGUAAACCUCUGAGAUGCAGCCUGGCAUAUGGGGGAGGGGAGGAGUUAGGAAUCCCCAAUGACAGAAGCCACAGUGAGCUAUGCAUGGUUACUCCCAUCGACAUGACUCUGGCAGCUGAGUCCACAGCAUUCAGGGAACCCUGCAGAGCUGACCUUGCAACCACCUGACCUUCCACCAUGAGGAACUAGAACUCGCCUUCAGACAGCCCAUUGGUGAACUUGGACAUAGCAUCCCAGUUUGCAUAAUCAUAAUGGUUCACUAUGCGGAACGGUAA